GACGAACGCUGGCGGCGUGCUUAACACAUGCAAGUCGAACGGAAAGGCCUGCUUUCCCUUGUGGAUUGCGGGUACUCGAGUGGCGAACGGGUGAGUAACACGUGAGUGAUCUGCCCCCAACUUGGGUAUAAGCCUGGGAGACUGGGUCUAAUUCCCGAUAGGACUGCAGGGUGGUGCCUGUGGUGGCAAACGAUUUUCUAGUGGUUGGGGAUGAGCUCGCGGCCUAUCAGCUUGUUGGUGGGGUAAUGGCCUACCAAGGCGGCGACGGGUAGCCGGCCUGAGAGAGUGGACGGGCACAUUGGGACUGAGAUACGGCCCAGACUCCUACGGGAGGCAGCAGUGGGGAAUAUUGCACAAUGGGCGGAAGCCUGAUGCAGCGACGCCGCGUGGGGGAUGACGGCCUUCGGGUUGUAAACUCCUUUCGACCGCGAGGAAGCCACCUGGUUGGAAGGGUGGUGACGGUAGUGGUAGAAGAAGCACCGGCUAACUACGUG
This 494-nucleotide ribosomal RNA is filed under the name uncultured bacterium. RNAcentral describes it as "partial 16S ribosomal RNA". It matches the Rfam family "Bacterial small subunit ribosomal RNA", at positions 28 to 507 of the family's 1533-position model. The record is from RNAcentral.